CCAGAGUGCCAUAGGCUCUCCAACCCAUUGUGAACAUACCUAUCGUUCCCUCGGCGGGCUCAGCGCGCGGGGCCUCCGGGCUCCCGGGCGUCCGCCGGGGACAACCAAACCCUGAUUUACUACGUGUAUCUCUGAGGGGCGAAAGCCCGAAAACAAAAUAAAUCA
RNAcentral lists this unclassified non-coding RNA (165 nucleotides) under uncultured fungus. RNAcentral's name for it is "sequence contains ITS1". Lineage: Eukaryota; Fungi. The record is from RNAcentral.